Molecule: ribosomal RNA, 301 nt
Filed under: uncultured bacterium
Lineage: Bacteria
Description: partial 16S ribosomal RNA
Rfam family: Bacterial small subunit ribosomal RNA
Source: RNAcentral
CAGCAGCCGCGGGAAUACGUAGGUGGCAAGCGUUGUCCGGAAUUACUGGGCGUAAAGCGUGCGCAGGCGGUUCGUUAAGACAGAUGUGAAAUCCCCGGGCUUAACCUGGGAACUGCAUUUGUGACUGGCGAGCUAGAGUAUGGCAGAGGGGGGUAGAAUUCCACGUGUAGCAGUGAAAUGCGUAGAGAUGUGGAGGAAUACCGAUGGCGAAGGCAGCCCCCUGGGCCAAUACUGACGCUCAUGCACGAAAGCGUGGGGAGCAAACAGGAUUAGAUACCCGCGUAGUCUCUGUCUCUUAUAC